RNAcentral lists this ribosomal RNA (602 nucleotides) under uncultured bacterium. Its description in RNAcentral is "partial 16S ribosomal RNA". The record is from RNAcentral.
UACUACGUAUCGGCUCAACUCUCUGACUAGCCGGUGUUACCCUGACUCUGUGCCGGGUAUGAGGAUGCCCUCCGUCGUCAUCCCUUAGAAGGUGUUACCCGCGUUCGGACUACCUCGUUGCGGCGCACACACUACUUCCCAAAGCCGAGCAUUUUGUGACAAUAUUCUCUUCUUGCCGUGACUCUCAUUGACAAGUCACACUGCCAUAGAAUGGUCUUUCCUUGCCGAUUUAUGCACGGUCGUCGGCGCCAUUAUGCAUACAAGGUUCGCAAUAGGCCUAAAUAACCCGCAUUUCGCUCGCGUCUGCCAAUAAAUUCAGACUUCACUUUCGGGAGUCGAGUUGACUCCUUACCGAAACCUUUGACCUACUGAACUCACGUCAUCUCCUUUCACCUUGAGGUACACAUCGCCACUUUACGCAUCUAUAUACCUUCUUGUGGUCACCGCUUCCGCCGAAAGACCUGACAUUGACUGCAACUCCGAGCUUUCACACCCAUCGUUUGUCCUAAUCUAUGGGACCAUCAGGUGUGGCAUUUGCUACUCACGAUCUACAAGCUCCCAAAGGCGGGAACUCACAGCGUCGAUUGCGUAUUCGUGAGGCG